Molecule: ribosomal RNA, 253 nt
Filed under: uncultured bacterium
Lineage: Bacteria
Description: partial 16S ribosomal RNA
Rfam family: Bacterial small subunit ribosomal RNA
Source: RNAcentral
UACGGAGACUGCAAGCGUUAUUCGGAUUCACUGGGCGUAAAGGGUGCGCAGGCGGUCGUGUGUGUCAGGUGUGAAAUCUCGGAGCUCAACUCCGAAACUGCGCCUGAAACUACACGACUAGAGUAUCGGAGAGGUGAGCGGAAUUCAUGGUGUAGCAGUGAAAUGCGUAGAUAUCAUGAGGAACACCAGAGGCGAAGGCGGCUCACUGGACGAUUACUGACGCUCAGGCACGAAAGCAUGGGGAGCAAAAGGG